GCGUCAACACACCCCUCACAUGAAAUAUAUCUAAUCGAAUUUAAUUGUCUCAAGAUCAGGUGAUUAGCCUUGUCCAUUAUUUUAAUGACUCCACUUAAUAUUAGAUCUUAAAGAAUACAGUAAUUUGACUUUUGGAAGGCAACUGUUAGGAUCGGGAAUUCGGGUAGUACGGUAUUUAGCCAAAUAAUGUUAUAAUGAUUAUAACAAAGUAACAGUAAUUAAAGCAGAUAAAGAAUGCACAAAUUUAACGUGGUUCGGUCAAUGAGACCUACAUUCACAAGCGGAGAGAAGCAAUUUUACUAUACCAACAAAAGUAUAAAAGAGAGUACAAAAUUAGCGUAAAUACUCUAGCUAGUCCCAAAUACCCCAAGAGAAUAACUUCACAAGAUCACUCCAAAGAAAGGGUUCACACAAGUGUUUACCAACACUCAAAACUCUUAUAAAAUUCUCUUAAUAAAUAAAGGAUGAGAAGAAAGACGAGUGAAAAGC
Molecule: long non-coding RNA, 489 nt
Filed under: Nicotiana benthamiana
Lineage: Eukaryota; Viridiplantae; Streptophyta; Magnoliopsida; Solanales; Solanaceae
Description: long non-coding RNA (NBEN_LNC019808)
Source: RNAcentral